CAUUGCCAAUGGCACGCAGAGCUGGAGUCUAGACAGGGAUUAAAGGAGAUGAGGAGAGGCCUUACCUCAAGGGAUACAUGUCAGAAAGUCCAGCAAGAUCCCUCACUAAGUGCUUGAUCCCUCAAACAAGGAGAGCAUUGUGGGUGAGCGCUGCUUAUUUACAGACCUGUCGCCCUCCUGUUUGCUCUAAGCAGCUUUGGAGUCUCUAUCCAGCCUCCAGCCACAGCAAGCUGGAGCAGAGCAGUGGCCUGACAGCCCUGCAGGCUGAGGGGACAGCAGACCACAGGUGCCACAGAAUAAGGAGAUGUGCCUUCCCUCCCCUCAGAUGUUUAUACAUUAAAGGGACCAUGGAGAUUGCUGAUUGUUCCCUACCAUAAUCAUCAAGUUCAUGCUGGCCAGGAGUUCCACCAGCGUGGGGAGAACCCCCGUGUCCACCACGAUUUGGAUGCGGUCGUUGGAGCUGUCGGUCAGCCUGGCUUUGCCACUCCCGGGGUCAGGAGCACCGGCCAGCCCUGCACAGACCAGAGCUCAAACAGCUGGUUUUCCAGCUUAAAGACAAACAUGUAAUCUCUCCUGGACCCUCAGGAGUCAUCCCUGCUUGCUGCCAGUUGGGUGAUGGUGACACCCUGUAAUCCUUCCUACAGCCACCGCAGUGGGGACAGUCCCACUCAGCACUGACCCUUACAGAGCCAGGCUCUCCAUUCCUUGGCCUGGAGGAUUGGCUCUUGAUUUCCUCCAGGAUCCAAUGUGAUCCCUGGCACAGCACAGGCACAGCAAGGGGGGCAGUACCAGGAGCCACAGCAAACCCCUCAGCUGGGUUCAACCCCACAAGUUCAUGCUACAAGCACUGCCCAAGACUGUGACAGAGAGAAGCAUGGCACACAGGGCAUACAACAGGCACCAGCUGAGGUUCCCCAGAGCAGUUUGGGUUACCAGGCUCCUUCCCUCUUUGCCAUCUCUCUAGAGAGCUCCUCAAACAGGAAUAAAUGCCUUUUGCCACCAGGACCCACCACAGCUCCAUGAGCCACCUCCCUCGUGGCCCAGGCAGCCAGGCACAUACCUGAUGGCCUGUGUGGCCAGCAGCUGCAGCCUGGGGUUGUUCUCAUUGAUGCCUUUCACGAUCUCCUCCAAGGACAGCUGAAUAAUCUGUGUCACAGGGAAUGAUUCACAGUCAGACUGGGAGCCGGGACUCCCUCUGGUUUAAUCUCUGCAGUCAAUCAGCUGUCUAGACCCGACUCAGUCACCACUUCAUAUCUAAGCACUGUCUAUUCUUUAUGCAACACAGUUUCGAGAUGAGGCAGAGAAUCCACAAAAGCCUUCAAGGCAACUAAUGCUUAUAAUCAAGCACUGAAAGAGUCCCUGACACACCAUAAUGGGCCUUCGAGCUCAGUAAUUACCCCUCGCUGUGCAGGGAGCCAGACAGGAGCUGUGCCUGCUCCCAGGGAGCCAGAGCACCAGCCUGUUCUACCUGCCAUCAAGGGAGGCCAACAGGACAUCAUCUCCAUGAAAAAUAGCAAAGGCAGAGGCCAGGCAGUCUGAAACACUCCCCAGCACUGGGCAUGGCAAUCAGGAAUGGCACCAGAUACUCAACCCAGGUCACACCAGCUGGACUCAGUAGUGGUCUAAGUAGGGGAUGAUAACUACUGCACUUAUCCUGCCCAGGUGCAGAGGACCCAGCACUCACCUCAUGUGUCCUGUUUUGUCCUGGAAGGACAUUCUCAUCCUUGACAUGAAGGGACACAUUUCUACGCUUCAGGAUCUGCUCAUCCUUCUUGGCCUUCCUCAGCUCAAUGCUCAUCUCCACCCUCUGCAUCCGCAGGGCCUGGAGGGGAGAGGGGCACCAUCCCAACAGUCUGGAUCACCCCAUUCCCCAGGGAGUUCAUCUUUGCAACCUUCUGCCCCACAUUUCCCACAGGAGGAGUGCAGAGAGCCAGCAUCUCCUCACUGUGGCCUGGAGAGUGAUGUAGGAGAUGGGACAGAGUAAACUUCUCCCUCAGUGCCUCCCAAGGACAUGAACUGCUGGAUGAACCGACAGCCAGUGGGGGUUUUUAAAACUAAAUUUGCUGAACUUGAAAGGCAAACCCUCAUCUCCUCUACUGGCUUAAAGCAAGCUGACAGAUCCCAUGGUCUGACAUCCCAUACCAGCCCCCGCUCCACAGGGAUAACUGCUGCAGAGAGCUCAGCAGGCUGGGGCUGAGCCACCCCCUUCCCCAGCCCAGAGUCACCCACAUCCCCCCUGCCUGUGUCACCACACUCCCUGCAGCCCAGCCAGCUCCACAUCACAUCUCAAAAGCCACCUGAGCAUCCCAGCUGGCAUCCCCCUGCUCCCCCUUUGCUACCCCAUACAGGUAGAUUUGAGAGCCAUGGGCCUUCACGAGAGUCUCCAUCUGUUGGAAAGGGGAACAGGCAAACCCCAGUGGGCUCUGCUGUGGCCCAAAGGUGCUGGCACAGGCAGGUGGGUACUCACAGCUGCAUCCUUGCCCUUGUUCUUGAACUUCCUCAUGCGCUGCUCCUGCUUCCCAACCUCCAUCUCAGCAGGGUUGAGAGAGGUGCCAGCUGAACGUCUUCACUUGCUCUUGGGCUUCAGGACAGAGCAGGGUCAGGUCACAACUGCCCAGCAGCAUCCACUGCCAUCCACAGAGGGGGCUGGGACCCCUCCCUCCCACCAGCAGCCUGUGCCACACAUUUCCAUGCCACACUCCCACCGAGGGAGAUGCUGCAGGUCCCCUGCCCCAAGCAGGGCUCGGUAGGAUCCUUACACACUGCAGCUGAGCCACUGAACUAAAUACAGGCACAAACUACCACUUAAUAUCAGGCUACAAAAAUUACAGCUGCUGCUGUAAUCCCAUGAGGAAGCCAGACACAGGCUUCCCAUGGUUACAGAAACACCACCUUCCUCUGGCUCUGAUCCUGGGCCUUUUAGUCUUACUUUGACACACAGCCCAAGCCUAGCAGGGCCUCUUACCUCCAGAAAGAUCAGCUCAAGGACUGAUUUAAGGACACAGCCACAUCCAAGCUUCUCACCCCACCACACAGCCCAACCUGGCCUCCUACAUCAGCACCCUAAAGUAAGGAAGACCCACAGGCACAUGCAGAGGCAUAAAGUGACCAAGUUCAAUGGAGGAAGGAGUUCUCCUGGAAAUCCAGCAGCUAGUGCAGAUUACCAGGUGAGCAACAUUAAAUAGGGACAGGUGAAAGUCCUUUCUAAGCACCGCCUAAUAAAAGCCACAGACAAAACA
Molecule: long non-coding RNA, 3239 nt
Organism: Pseudopipra pipra
Lineage: Eukaryota; Metazoa; Chordata; Aves; Passeriformes; Pipridae
Exons: 2
Source: RefSeq, a predicted model, not a curated record